RNAcentral lists this ribosomal RNA (1555 nucleotides) under Staphylococcus aureus. Its description in RNAcentral is "Small Subunit Ribosomal RNA; ssuRNA; SSU rRNA". It matches the Rfam family "Bacterial small subunit ribosomal RNA". Lineage: Bacteria; Bacillati; Bacillota; Bacilli; Caryophanales; Staphylococcaceae. The record is from RNAcentral.
UUUUAUGGAGAGUUUGAUCCUGGCUCAGGAUGAACGCUGGCGGCGUGCCUAAUACAUGCAAGUCGAGCGAACGGACGAGAAGCUUGCUUCUCUGAUGUUAGCGGCGGACGGGUGAGUAACACGUGGAUAACCUACCUAUAAGACUGGGAUAACUUCGGGAAACCGGAGCUAAUACCGGAUAAUAUUUUGAACCGCAUGGUUCAAAAGUGAAAGACGGUCUUGCUGUCACUUAUAGAUGGAUCCGCGCUGCAUUAGCUAGUUGGUAAGGUAACGGCUUACCAAGGCAACGAUGCAUAGCCGACCUGAGAGGGUGAUCGGCCACACUGGAACUGAGACACGGUCCAGACUCCUACGGGAGGCAGCAGUAGGGAAUCUUCCGCAAUGGGCGAAAGCCUGACGGAGCAACGCCGCGUGAGUGAUGAAGGUCUUCGGAUCGUAAAACUCUGUUAUUAGGGAAGAACAUAUGUGUAAGUAACUGUGCACAUCUUGACGGUACCUAAUCAGAAAGCCACGGCUAACUACGUGCCAGCAGCCGCGGUAAUACGUAGGUGGCAAGCGUUAUCCGGAAUUAUUGGGCGUAAAGCGCGCGUAGGCGGUUUUUUAAGUCUGAUGUGAAAGCCCACGGCUCAACCGUGGAGGGUCAUUGGAAACUGGAAAACUUGAGUGCAGAAGAGGAAAGUGGAAUUCCAUGUGUAGCGGUGAAAUGCGCAGAGAUAUGGAGGAACACCAGUGGCGAAGGCGACUUUCUGGUCUGUAACUGACGCUGAUGUGCGAAAGCGUGGGGAUCAAACAGGAUUAGAUACCCUGGUAGUCCACGCCGUAAACGAUGAGUGCUAAGUGUUAGGGGGUUUCCGCCCCUUAGUGCUGCAGCUAACGCAUUAAGCACUCCGCCUGGGGAGUACGACCGCAAGGUUGAAACUCAAAGGAAUUGACGGGGACCCGCACAAGCGGUGGAGCAUGUGGUUUAAUUCGAAGCAACGCGAAGAACCUUACCAAAUCUUGACAUCCUUUGACAACUCUAGAGAUAGAGCCUUCCCCUUCGGGGGGCAAAGUGACAGGUGGUGCAUGGUUGUCGUCAGCUCGUGUCGUGAGAUGUUGGGUUAAGUCCCGCAACGAGCGCAACCCUUAAGCUUAGUUGCCAUCAUUAAGUUGGGCACUCUAAGUUGACUGCCGGUGACAAACCGGAGGAAGGUGGGGAUGACGUCAAAUCAUCAUGCCCCUUAUGAUUUGGGCUACACACGUGCUACAAUGGACAAUACAAAGGGCAGCGAAACCGCGAGGUCAAGCAAAUCCCAUAAAGUUGUUCUCAGUUCGGAUUGUAGUCUGCAACUCGACUACAUGAAGCUGGAAUCGCUAGUAAUCGUAGAUCAGCAUGCUACGGUGAAUACGUUCCCGGGUCUUGUACACACCGCCCGUCACACCACGAGAGUUUGUAACACCCGAAGCCGGUGGAGUAACCUUUUAGGAGCUAGCCGUCGAAGGUGGGACAAAUGAUUGGGGUGAAGUCGUAACAAGGUAGCCGUAUCGGAAGGUGCGGCUGGAUCACCUCCUUUCU